Molecule: ribosomal RNA, 492 nt
Filed under: uncultured bacterium
Lineage: Bacteria
Description: partial 16S ribosomal RNA
Rfam family: Bacterial small subunit ribosomal RNA
Source: RNAcentral
AGUGAACGCUGGCGGUAGGCCUAACACAUGCAAGUCGAACGGCAGCACAGUAAGAGCUUGCUCUUACGGGUGGCGAGUGGCGGACGGGUGAGGAAUAUAUCGGAAUCUACUCUUUCGUGGGGGAUAACGUAGGGAAACUUACGCUAAUACCGCAUACGACCUACGGGUGAAAGCAGGGGAUCUUCGGACCUUGCGCGAUUGAGUGAGCCGAUGUCGGAUGGGAUAGUUGGCGGGGUAAAGGCCCACCAAGGCGACGAUCCGAAGCUGGUCUGAGCGGAUGAUCGGCCACACUGGAACUAGAACACGGACCAGACUACUGCGGAAGGCAGCAGUGGGAAAUGUUGGACAAUGGGCGGAAGCAUGAACCAGCCAUCCCGCGUGGGUGAAAGAGACCUUCGGGUUGUAAUGCCCUUUUGUUGGGAAAGAAAAGCAGCAGGUUGAUACCCCGCUGUUAUGACGGUACCCAAUGAAGAAGCACCGGCUAACUUCGUG